UUCGCCCUUAGAGUUUGAUCCUGGCUCAGAACGAACGCUGGCGGCAUGCCUAACACAUGCAAGUCGAACGAAGGCUUCGGCCUUAGUGGCGCACGGGUGCGUAACGCGUGGGAAUCUGCCCUUAGGUUCGGAAUAACAGCUGGAAACGGCUGCUAAUACCGGAUGAUAUCGCGAGAUCAAAGAUUUAUCGCCUGAGGAUGAGCCCGCGUUGGAUUAGGUAGUUGGUGGGGUAAAGGCCUACCAAGCCGACGAUCCAUAGCUGGCCUGAGAGGAUGAUCAGCCACACUGGGACUGAGACACGGCCCAGACUCCUACGGGAGG
RNAcentral lists this ribosomal RNA (321 nucleotides) under uncultured Sphingomonas sp. RNAcentral describes it as "bacterial SSU rRNA". It matches the Rfam family "Bacterial small subunit ribosomal RNA", at positions 1 to 348 of the family's 1533-position model. The record is from RNAcentral. Lineage: Bacteria; Pseudomonadati; Pseudomonadota; Alphaproteobacteria; Sphingomonadales; Sphingomonadaceae.